This is an RNA transcript of Loxodonta africana (African savanna elephant), 4387 nucleotides long. It is a transcript of the gene named deoxyribonuclease 1 like 2, with no coding region annotated. Lineage: Eukaryota; Metazoa; Chordata; Mammalia; Proboscidea; Elephantidae. The record is from RefSeq and is a predicted model, not a curated record. The transcript has 8 exons.
CCAGGACUCCGGUGGGGCUGGCAGUUGUGCGUAGGUAUGCUGGCAUCCUGACAAGCAUCCUCCCACCUGCUCUGCCCUACAAAGAGCUCUCGAGGCCUCCCAAGGUGGGUAGAAGGGGUGCUGCUCCCCGGGCUGCGGUGGGGCUGGGCCUGAUCCCGGAUCUGCAGAACCUGCAGGGUGGCCAGAGCCAGCCUUGGAGAGAGAGCUCCGCUCUGCUUUCCACCUGAGGUAUGGAUGGAGUAGGAGGAGCAGCUGUAAGGAGGGGGCCAGGAACGGGGCUGGCCUCUCCUGAUUGUUCCACCUUACCCAGCUCAAGGAGGCAGAUUCUAGGGGACCUAAUUUCUAGGGGUUAGGGUUAGGUUCGGUUGGUGGACUUGGCUGAUCCUUCUCCCUGAUUUCUGACACAGCCCUUGGGGGCUGGCAGGGACUUCCGCAUCCCCAUCCUCAAACAGGCAUGACUCAGAUCUUUUGACUCCCUGCCCUCCUGGCCUCCGUGAAAAUAGGAACCUGGAGCCCUGGUGCCCAGCUCCACCGAGGGGGUGGGACCUAGCAGCCUGGCCCCUCCUUGGGCCAGGGCAUCAAAUAGCCGCCCGGGCCCUGCGCCAGAGCUACUGUGGGACCCGAGCCCGCGCGAUUGUCCACUGCUACAGGCUGCCCUCAGCUUUGUUCCGGACCCUAGUCAGAUCCGGAUCCUGACCCUUUGGCACAGCCCCAUUUACGCCCUGGAGUGGGAGGACGGCCAUGGGCCGAGAGCGCAGCGCAUCGUCCUGGAGAGCCAGCGAGAGUGCAGGUGGAAGACGAGCCUCUGCGCAGUCCAGGAUCGGAGCGGCAGGCUCGGCCCGGUCCCCGAGUUCUCCGCGCCGGGCAGGAGUGUGGGUCGCUGUAUCCCUCUGCUGUUGCGCUCACCGGGCCUGUCGGCUCCUUCCAGUCCCCCCGCUCCGCGCCAUGGGCGGGCCCUGGGCCCUGCUGGCUGCACUCUGGGCAUUUGGGGCCGCCGCCGGGGCCGCGGAGCUGCGCAUUGGAGCCUUCAAUAUCCAAAGCUUCGGCGACACAAAAGUGUCGGACCCGGCCUGCAUCAUAGUCAUCGCGCAGAUCCUGGCUGGCUAUGACAUCACGCUGGUGCAGGAGGUUCGAGACCCGGACUUGAGCGCCGUGUCUGCACUCAUGGAGCAGAUAAACAGAGUGUCCAAGCACAACUACAACUUCGUGAGCAGCGAGCCCCUGGGUCGUGACCAGUACAAAGAAAUGUACUUGUUCGUGUACAGGGACGACAAGGUGUCUGUCGUGGAUACGUACCACUACCCAGAUCUGGAGGACGCCUUCAACCGUGAGCCUUUCGUGGUCAAAUUCUCAGCCCCCAGCUCAGCAGCCAAGGAGUUCGUGCUGGUCCCACUACACGCCGCGCCGCACCACGCCGUGGUGGAGAUCGACGCUCUUUACGACGUGUACCUGGACGUGAUCGACAAGUGGGGCACAGAUGCUCUGCGCGCUGGCAGGACAUCCUGUUCCUGGGCGACUUCAAUGCCGACUGCAGUUACGUGCGGGCGCAGGACUGGGCCGCCAUCCGUCUGCGCAGCAGCGAGGUCUUCAAGUGGCUCAUCCCAGACAGUGCCGACACCACGGUGGGCAACACAGACUGUGCCUACGAUCGCAUUGUGGUCUGCGGCGUACACCUGCGCAGGAGUCUGAAGCCGCAGUCGGCCGCUGUGCACGACUUCCAGGAAGAGUUCGGCCUGGACCAGGCUCAGGCUCUCGCCGUCAGUGACCACUUCCCUGUGGAGGUGACCCUCAAGUCCAGCUGACAGCCCAAGGCCUGUCCAGAGGACUGCAGACUCCAGCCAUCUGGGACAGCCCCCUGGGAGCUCUUUCAGGGUGGCCAGCUACCCCCCAGCAAGACCACGGGGCAGGGCCAGCCAGGCCUGGGUGUUAGCACCUACCAUCCACAGCCUGGACAAGCGGCCACGGACACGUUACGGGACACUCAGAUCCUCUGUUUCCCCGUUUGUAAAAUGAGACGUGAUGCCUACCUCAUAGGACUAUAAAUAGUGAGGAAUCCUCACACAGGGCCCAGUGCGCAUGCUCAAUAAAUGCCACUCUCAGCCAGGUGCAAACAGGUCGCUCCCAGCCUCCAUGUCCUUUCUUAGGACUCAGCCUUUCUGAGCUUGUGGUUCAGCCUGGCAGACAAGUGGGUCUGUGGUCCCAGCCCCCUUAGGGGACAGGGACAGCCUGGUCUGCCUAUUUUAUGUCCUGCUGAGAACAGCCACCCCCAGACCAUGCUGGGUCCAGAUGGCAGCCUGUCUGGAGUGCCCUCCUGGUUCUUUCUUUGUGCAAACUGUAACUGCCUCCAAGACCCUGUACUGGGUGGGGUGGGCAGGUGGGUGGGCUCAGUGCUCAGUCACUGGGCCUGUCUCAGGCAACUUUCCCUUUCAAGGGCCCUGCCCUGCCCAGUACCGAAGGGGUAGGCCACAGAGGCUGCCACCAUUCCCCCAGCUGACUGACUGCCCUGGGGCGUUUGGGGAGCCAGGUGCAGGAGGGUGGCCUUGGUCCCUGCGUAAAUCUCUCACACUUCAGUGGGAUACAGAAGGUGUGUUCCUGGUUUUUGAAGUGUCUCAUCUUUGGUAACCAAAGAAUCGUUUCAGAAACAGGAUUUGGGGACUGGCUUGAAUCGUAUGGGAGAAAAAGUAUUUGUUUCAAGGGUUGGACAAGUUCUUUCUUACAAAGCCUUUCUAGAAUAAGACCUUGAAUGGUCGGCAUAGAACCCCUUCCAACAAGAGAUGCUUCUCAUCCCCUCUGUGUCCCUAAAUUUCCCUGGGUCCCUGUGGAUGUGCUUCAUGCAAAUGAACGAAAGCGGUAGCCAGGAGCUUUGGGUGGGGGCCACCUGGCCUCCCACACCAGCAAGCAGACAGCCCGGAGGGCGGGGAGGGGUGUCCUGAGAACUUUAUUCACGAUUCUACUUCGCAGGAAGAGCACUCAGGGCCCCCGCCUGCCCCUCAUGAUUCCCAGGUUGGGGCGUCACAGCCAGGUUGGGACGUCACCAUCCUCCACCACCCUGCCAGGCAGAAAAAGCACUUGUGUGGGUGGUGAAGGCCUCAGGACACUGGGUGGCAGAGACCAAGGUCUUCCAGGAAGAUCACCAAAACAAACAGAAGUACCUUUUACAUGGAAAAAUACCUUGUUUAAAGCCCCCUGGAGCCAGAGGGCCCGUGGAGGGGUGCCUCUGGCUAAGACCCCACUGAGGCAGCCCUGACCUUAACCUUUCUUUUGUCUGAGCUUCUGUAGGUAUGUCUACAUGGCCUUCUGGAUGGAGUCUCGGGAGGUGAAGACGAAGAACUGGAUGUCAGCAUCUCUGCUUCACCAGGUGGUCCACGGUCAGCUUCCACAUCAUGCUCUUGGUCAGCUGCUGAGCAUGAUCUACAGAUAAUGGGGCUGCGUGAAAACCUGCUUCCAGGGGCAGCAGCCUCAUGCUGGACCUUGCCAAGAGUGUACAUGCAAACUCAGGCAGAAAAUUCAGAAAAUACAGAUCAAGAGGAGACAAUGAAAACCAUCUGUCUCCAGUGGCCCACUGAUUGUUUUUGUAAACAGAGAGGAUGCUACUGUAAAAAGUGCCUUUUGAACCUAUUAUUUUCACUCAGCUGUAUUACCCAGAAUAUUCUCCCUGUCAUGAAAUGCACUUUGACAACAUAGUUAGUAGGUGCCUGGUGUUCCGCCAUUUGUCUGUACCAGGAGUCAGCAGACCUGCCUCUGCCUGGUUUUGUACAGCCUGCAAUGGCUUUUCCAUUUUUAAAUGGUUGAGAAAAAAAUUAAAAUCAUAAUACUUUGUCACAUAUGGUAAUUAUAUGAAAUUCAAAUUUCAGUGUCCAAGUUUUAUCAGCACACGGCCUAGCCUAUCUAUUUACAUACUUUCGAGCUACAAUGGACAGAGACCAUACGGCACCCCAAAGUCAAAAUUCUACCUGGCUUUUUGAAGAAAAAGUCUGCUGAUCCCUGGAGUAUGUCUUAAUUUACUUAACCAGCUCUGUCUCUGUAAACAGACGAGCAGCUAUUUCCACCACCACUAGCUGCCAUGAAGUCCACUCCAACUCGUGGGUCAGAGUAGAACUGUGCUCUGUAGGGUUUCCAAUGGCUGAUUUUUCAGCAGUAGAUUGCUGGGCCUUUCUUCCUAGUCUGGAGGCUCCAGUGAAACCUGUUCAGCAUCAUUGCAUGAUAGCAACAUGCAAGCCUCCACUGACAGAUGGGUGGUGACUGCGCAUAAGGGGCACUGGCCUGGAAUCAAACUCAGGUCUCCCGAAUAUAAGGUGAUAAUUCUACCACUGAACCACUCCUGCCCUGCCCCCAACCAGUUGCAGUUGAGUUGACUUGACUCAUGGCAACCCCACAUGUGUUAAGA